GGGCGUGGGGAGUGCAGG
RNAcentral lists this unclassified non-coding RNA (18 nucleotides) under Chlamydomonas reinhardtii. RNAcentral describes it as "small RNA Cre_1909". Lineage: Eukaryota; Viridiplantae; Chlorophyta; Chlorophyceae; Chlamydomonadales; Chlamydomonadaceae. The record is from RNAcentral.